This 215-nucleotide ribosomal RNA is filed under the name Ruminococcus sp. AM42-11. Its description in RNAcentral is "partial 16S ribosomal RNA". It matches the Rfam family "Bacterial small subunit ribosomal RNA", at positions 1 to 196 of the family's 1533-position model. Lineage: Bacteria; Bacillati; Bacillota; Clostridia; Eubacteriales; Oscillospiraceae. The record is from RNAcentral.
UUUAUCAGAGAGUUUGAUCCUGGCUCAGGAUGAACGCUGGCGGCGUGCUUAACACAUGCAAGUCGAACGGGAAAUACUUUAUUGAAACUUCGGUGGAUUUAAUUUAUUUCUAGUGGCGGACGGGUGAGUAACGCGUGGGUAACCUGCCUUAUACUGGGGGAUAACAGCCAGAAAUGACUGCUAAUACCGCAUAAGCGCACAGAACCGCAUGGUUC